GACAUCAGUAUAAUAAGCCCAACGGGAGAAUGAUAUGGCAAUUUCUAAAUUUCCUAGAAGGAUCGCUCAGGAGGAUGGGCUUGAGCAGGCUGCCUUCCAUGUCACACCACCACUGGGCACAUUUUGUUUUUUGGCAACUGCCCCAACAGGAUUUUUUGUUCAUUCUGAAAAUCACAUCGCCAGAUCCAACACCUUUUUAUCCCAAUCACCAGUACAAGCCACCCGUAUCAGUGUACACUGUGGCUGACCGAUCCAUAGUGAUGCUUUGAGCACAAGGAAGGACUUUCUGGAAUCUACUUAUCUGACCAAGAAAGCUUCUUUCCAAAAGAAAUGCAAUUGUCUUGAGACUUCUUCCCUAGGGAUCUGAUCAACUAACCAGAAAAGAGCAACCACCAGAGAAGAGACUGUAGUCGUACAGUGUCCAGAAGGCAAAAGGACAAGUAUGCACUGCCCUACUUACCUACUUUCCACACUGCUGCACAGGAAAAUCUGACAGAGGACAAUAACAAACAUCUCACCAGCUCAUGCGUUCUUUUUUGAUCCUAAUUCCGAGAGACUCACCAAAGACAUGAAGAGAAAACAAACAAUACUUUUCUUGGAAAUAUUGUAAUUGCUGGUACAUUUGUUGUUCUGGCAUAAAGUAGAAAUUGUCAGGUAAACAUUGCUUCCUUUUGGAUCAAAAAGAAAUUUAACCAAAUAAAUGCAAGAGGUAUGAGGGAAGAUAAUGGGAAAUAAAUGAGAUUUGAGAAAUCAGUGGAGGUUCAAGUGGUUUUUUUUUUCUUUUGUAGUUGAUAAUACUCUGUUUUAAAUCAGUGAGUUUUACUUAUAUAUGCUUGUCCUUUUUUUUUUCUAGUUACCAGAACAAUACUCAGUGAACUUAUGAAUAUAUGGUAAAUAUUAAACACAUCCCACUUGGAUGAGAAGAUAUGUGAGUCGAUGAGUAUAGCUAAGUCUAAAGUUAGAUGUGUUCCAUAAACAUAGUGUUUAUGGAGUUGGUGCAUAUUCACUUCUCAGUAAG
Molecule: long non-coding RNA, 1018 nt
Filed under: Homo sapiens (human)
Lineage: Eukaryota; Metazoa; Chordata; Mammalia; Primates; Hominidae
Description: non-protein coding lnc-MMRN1-12:5
Source: RNAcentral